RNAcentral lists this ribosomal RNA (526 nucleotides) under uncultured bacterium. Its description in RNAcentral is "partial 16S ribosomal RNA". It matches the Rfam family "Bacterial small subunit ribosomal RNA", at positions 355 to 870 of the family's 1533-position model. The record is from RNAcentral.
UGGGGAAUUUUGGACAAUGGGCGAAAGCCUGAUCCAGCAAUGCCGCGUGUGUGAAGAAGGCCUUCGGGUUGUAAAGCACUUUUGCCCGGAAAGAAAUCCUUGGCUCUAAUACAGUCGGGGGAUGACGGUACCGGAAGAAUAAGCACCGGCUAACUACGUGCCAGCAGCCGCGGUAAUACGUAGGGUGCAAGCGUUAAUCGGAAUUACUGGGCGUAAAGCGUGCGCAGGCGGUUUGCUAAGACCGAUGUGAAAUCCCCGGGCUCAACCUGGGAACUGCAUUGGUGACUGGCAGGCUAGAGUAUGGCAGAGGGGGGUUAGAAUUCCACGUGUAGCAGUGAAAGUGCGUAGAGAUGUGGAGGAAUACCGAUGGCGAAGGCAGCCCCCUGGGCCAAUACUGACGCUCAUGCACGAAAGCGUGGGGAGCAAAGCAGGAUUCAGAUACCCUGGUAGUCCACGCCCUAAACGAUGUCAACUAGUUGUUGGGGAUUCAUUUCCUUAGUAACGUAGCUAACGCGUGAAGUUGACC